GGCGGUGUGGUGGAAUGGCAGACACGCUUGACUCAAAAUCAAGUGUCCUCUGGACGUGCAGGUUCAAGUCCUGUCACCGCUA
RNAcentral lists this transfer RNA (82 nucleotides) under Gottfriedia endophytica. It matches the Rfam family "tRNA". Rfam says of the family: Transfer RNA (tRNA) molecules are approximately 80 nucleotides in length. Their secondary structure includes four short double-helical elements and three loops (D, anti-codon, and T loops). Lineage: Bacteria; Bacillati; Bacillota; Bacilli; Caryophanales; Bacillaceae. The record is from Rfam by way of RNAcentral.